RNAcentral lists this ribosomal RNA (186 nucleotides) under uncultured bacterium. RNAcentral's name for it is "partial 16S ribosomal RNA". It matches the Rfam family "Bacterial small subunit ribosomal RNA", at positions 1315 to 1500 of the family's 1533-position model. The record is from RNAcentral.
AGUGCAUGAAGCUGGAAUCGCUAGUAAUCGCGAAUCAGAAUGUCGCGGUGAAUACGUUCCCGGGUCUUGUACACACCGCCCGUCACACCAUGGGAGCCGACAACGCCCGAAGUCAGUGACCUAACCGAGAGGGAGGAGCUGCCGAAGGCGGGGUUGGUAACUGGGGUGAAGUCGUAACAAGGUACC